UUAAUUUCAUGAAAUGAUCCUUCUUAAUUUGGAACCCUCAUAAAUAUUAUCCUCCUCUCUCAUUUUUCUCCAUUUGGAUAAUGAAUCAAGUUACAAAGGAAAUUAAUUAAAGCUGUAUUAUGGAUGACUCAGGACUUCCAUAUUUCCUCCUUCAGGCGCACCUCUGCAUAUUGGUGUGCAUUUCUGCUUGCAGCUUGAAGGCGAGACGCCUUUAAAACUCAUGCAUUCUUUGUGGCAAGAAUCAUAACAGUUUUUGUUCAUCUUACCUUCCCCUGACCAACCCCAUCCUUUUCCUUUGAUAGCUUCUAUCAAAUCCCAUCCUUCUGCAACUUUUAUGGAUAUCGUCAUCAUUAUCAUCAUCACCAUCAUUACACUCACCGUUUUAUUGGAUUUCAUCAUCGUGUUCUUGAUUGGAGAGGUUUGAUCGGCUUGAAAUGGAGAAAAAGAGAAAAGGAAGAUGAAGGAAGGAUGAGGUUGCC
RNAcentral lists this long non-coding RNA (479 nucleotides) under Manihot esculenta (cassava). RNAcentral describes it as "long non-coding RNA (MESC_LNC008915)". Lineage: Eukaryota; Viridiplantae; Streptophyta; Magnoliopsida; Malpighiales; Euphorbiaceae. The record is from RNAcentral.